This 313-nucleotide long non-coding RNA is filed under the name Phoenix dactylifera (date palm). RNAcentral describes it as "long non-coding RNA (PDAC_LNC020112)". The record is from RNAcentral. Lineage: Eukaryota; Viridiplantae; Streptophyta; Magnoliopsida; Arecales; Arecaceae.
CGGAUUGAUCUCUACCUUGCUCAUCAUAGGGAUGGUGCCAAUGGGGAGGCUAAUGGUAGUACCCGGCAUUAUUUGACCCAACUAUUCGGUGUAGGGCACAUUAGGGACGGCACAAGAGGGAGGCUAGUGGUAGUACCUCGUGCCCUUUCCCAACUACAUCGGGUAGGGAGCAAAUAGAGUUUCGAAACGUAUCUCUUGGGAGAAAGAAGAGAGAGUUUUACUUGUUGUAAUCUUUGUUGUAAUUGGAGAAGAUUGAGUGGUGUUCAUUCCAAUUUUUAUAAAAAGAGGUGGGUCGGUUCAUCCCUUGGGUGAC